GAGGCUUAAGUUAAAAUUUUUAAUAUUUCUAUGUCACAGAAAAGAUAGAAGCCUUU
This 56-nucleotide transfer RNA is filed under the name Fragariocoptes setiger. Its description in RNAcentral is "tRNA-Asp". The record is from RNAcentral. Lineage: Eukaryota; Metazoa; Arthropoda; Arachnida; Trombidiformes; Phytoptidae.